AUCGAACGCUGGCGGCAUGCCUUACACAUGCAAGUCGAACGGCAGCACGGGAGCUUGCUCCUGGUGGCGAGUGGCGAACGGGUGAGUAAUAUAUCGGAACGUACCCUAGAGUGGGGAUAACGCAGCGAAAGUUGCGCUAAUACCGCAUACGAUCUACGGAUGAAAGUGGGGGAUCGCAAGACCUCAUGCUCAUGGAGCGGCCGAUAUCUGAUUAGGUAGUUGGUGAGGUAAAGGCUCACCAAGCCAACGAUCUGUAGCUGGUCUGAGAGGACGACCAGCCACACUGGAACUGAGACACGGUCCAGACUCCUACGGGAGGCA
This 321-nucleotide ribosomal RNA is filed under the name uncultured bacterium. Its description in RNAcentral is "bacterial SSU rRNA". It matches the Rfam family "Bacterial small subunit ribosomal RNA", at positions 30 to 350 of the family's 1533-position model. The record is from RNAcentral.